Molecule: ribosomal RNA, 120 nt
Filed under: Pteropus alecto (black flying fox)
Lineage: Eukaryota; Metazoa; Chordata; Mammalia; Chiroptera; Pteropodidae
Also listed under: 1 other name
Source: RNAcentral
GCCUACAGCCAUGCCACCCUGAACAAGCCCAAUCCUGUCUGAUCUUGGAAGCUAAGCAGGGUCUAAGCCUGGUUAGUACUUGGAUGGGAGAACAACUAGGAAGACCAGGUGCUGUAGGCG